This is a non-coding RNA of Sus scrofa (pig), 6421 nucleotides long. The record is from RefSeq and is a predicted model, not a curated record. NCBI's taxonomy places the organism in Eukaryota, Metazoa, Chordata, Mammalia, Artiodactyla, Suidae.
AGAUUUGAAGAAAAAAUACUGACUGCAAGCAGCAUUUAAGACCCCAGGAAACAUUAUUGUUUUUUCUUCAGAAAGCAUAGAAUUGGGAUUUACCAAAGCUGCACAGGUUAAAGACAAAAGGAAAUUUCGAAAUGAUGCUGAAAGUAAAUUUCUGCACAGUUCAUCAUAGCAAAAAAGGGAAUGGAAGAAGCAAGAAACUCAAGAGUGACGGGGUGUUGGUUCCUGGGCAAAGGGGUGCUGGGAGUUGGGAAGAAGUUGGAAAUGGAUAAGAAGACCAGCAAUCUGGAUAAAGAAAUCCUCCCUAAACCAAAUGAUGCUUUACACACACUCAUAUUUGGCUAUUUUUAAUGUUUUGUUCUUGUGCUUGUUGAUGUGUUUAAUUUUAAUCAUGGAAAUAGAAUUGGGUUCCCCAUUUUAACUUCUGAAAUAGAAGAAAAAAGACAACCGUAAAAAAGGCUGAGGGGCAGGAGGAAUUGGGUCCUCGGCAAGAGCAGGAAUUCAGAAUCAAAGGUAGCUGUAUUAUCCAAAAGACUUUACAAAUUCAUGGAAAUGCUGACAAGUUUACUGUGCUUCCCAUAGGAAGUAGAUAGAUAACUAUAUUUUGUUUAAAUUUCAAAGAACAGAGUAACACUGGCUAACGCCUGGGGCACAUUUCAUUGAUUUAUUCAAUGUAUCUCAGGAAUCAGUUUGACUCAUCACUUUUAAUUUCCUUCAAUUUAACAAACAUUUAAAUUUAUUAAAUACCUUCUGAUUCUUUGUUGAGUAAGUUAUGUAACAUUUUUUGAAAGACAAAUAUGUGUAAAUGCUAUAGGGUAAAGACAAUUUAAUUAGAAUUGUUCUAAUAAUGAACAUAUAUUAUAAUACAGGAUAUUCCAUAAUCAUAUCAAAUGAUGAUAUAAGACAGAGUUAAGGGACAUGAAAAGGGAUAAAUUGUUACAGAUGUUCAGAGGAGAGGAAAAUUUAUUCUGUAUGUAAAGAAAAGGGGAUAUUGAUAGAAAAAAGAGAAUUUGCACUGGGCCCUGGAUAACAGGAAGGAUUUGAUCACAUGGUGAUAAGAUAUACAUGCUACUGAGAAUAAACAGGUACAAAAAAAUGGAUGUAGGAAGAUGCAUGGGGAAUAUGGAGACCAUCAAGCUCUUAACGUGUUGUUGUGCAUGAACAGAAAAAGGUCAAUGAAUUACAAGGCUGGAAGAGAGACAGGUUUCAGAACCAUGGCUAUCAGUGUUGGGCAAGAGGCGUUCUUUGCAGGGUUUUUAAUUUUUUGGGGUGUUGAGAGGUAAGAGGGGGAGCUUCUGGAACUCCACUCCAGCAAUAUAAAUCCUUUACCUGUGUCUUGAAUAUUUUGCAUAAGACUAUUUGGGAAACCAUUGCUCAAGUCCUUGAAGAACUCAUUUGAAUUAAGGAGACUGCCAAGAAAUAUCUGGUGGUGCGGAUGCAUGUCAGAAAGAUUUAAGAAACAGAAUGUAUGGAAUUAGGCAAUAUCCAGUUUUUUAAUCCAUUAAUGUUACCAACACUCUCGUAAUUGUUGAGGGUGAAUCAUAGGAGUGCUAUCAUUCCAGAUAUCACUUUCUAUUUUAAUCCACAUAAUUAAUCCCAUAACACAUCCUUGAUCUCUCUAACACCUUCUGUCUCCAACAAUACUACUUGGUUUCCUUGCUGUUUUGCCUAUUGCUCCCUUCUAGUCUACCUCACCUAAUAGUCAGAGAGAACUUCUAAAAAACAUAAUUUGAAUCAUGUAUUUCUCCGGUUAAAUAUACCAAUGACUUGAUAUAAUGCUAACAAUAGGUUCUAAUUCCUUAUUAUGCUGUGCAAAAUCCAACAUGAUCCGGUCCAUGUAAUUUUACAACUCAUUGUAAUUUGUCCAUUCUUGCUUUUUAAAUGCUCUGGAAUAUUCCAAGCCUUUUCCUACCUUUAGGACUUUGCAUUUGUUUGUCUUUAUGGCUGAAAUUUGAUCUUUUUUUAACCUUUAUUACAUGGCAGGCUCUGGCUUAUCCUUUAGUAGUCAGUCAAAUAUCACCUCUUUAGUGUCAUUAUCCCUCAUGAUACUACCUCAAGUACCCACAUCAUCCCCAACAUUUUAUUAUUUAUAUCAACUUGAAAAUUCCUUACUGAAAUUAUCAUAAUUGUCUCUUCCACAUCACUAUGUUUUCUCAGUGAUAUAGCAAUCAUCUUGUUCCUGUGUGUGUUUACUUGUUUAAUCUUGUUCUAGGGUAUAGCUCCCAUGUUUUGUCCUUAUCUGUAUCCAAGGACCUAGAAAAUUGCUUGGCACAUAGGAAUUAUACAUUAAGCAUUUUAAAAAUUAGUGGAUAAAUGAUUGCAAUAAAACAGGGAAAUUUAUUAAAAUCUAUUAUAAAAUAUCCUGUUUGAGUGACCAGGAGAAUGGUGUAUUUUUAACAGAACUGAAGAACUGGCAAUAGAAAGGCUAUGCUAAAGAGAGAAUAGCAAGCCAACUGUGACAUGCACAGGUUAGCACAACCAAUUUUAGCACACAAGUAUUAGAGGUAAAAAGCACCCUGGUGAUAUAAAAUAAAAUAAAUACAGCGUGUUUCUGUUCCUAGAAAUUCCCAUUUAGUAGCUUACAGCUCUGUGCAUAUAGUUGACUGUGGAAAGGCAAUAAAGUAGAUGUCCUCAAUUACAGUUUUAGUUCCUCUGACUUACUAGGUCCUGGUUACCAGAGUACCUAGAGCAAGAGUGGACCCAUGGCCUGUAAGAAUGUAUAUAUCAGGGGCUAAUUAGGAAACAGAUGACACUCAAAUGGGUAUGUAAAACGCCAUAGAAAGUGUGGGCAUGGUGAAUGAAAAUCACUGUGGGAUGGUGAAGCGCAGUGGGAACCUGUUACCAUUCCGUAUGUUAGGAUAAAAGGAAAGAGCAGCUGUCUGAAUGCGGUUAACCUGGGACUCAGUAGGGGGAAUGCUAACAGAAUAGAAACCUUCCCUCAUUUCUUUACUGUGAUGAUAAGUUGAUGAUGCUGCUCAAUGGCCAACCCAACCAGAUCAGAGGUCAAGAGGACCUCUUGCUCUAUCUAUAAUAUUCCACCUCCUAAGAGGGAGAGAAAAAUUAAGUGGCAUGAAAUCCCAAUAGUUUGUCUUUAUCUAUUUCCUUUUCUAUCUAGAAAAGUGCCUGUCACUUAAUAAUUCCUCAAUAAGUGUUUUAAAAAUGAGUGGAUGAAUCAAUACAAAUAGGAUGGCAUCGAAAAAAUAAAAGUUAUUUUAAGCUGCUACAAAAUAUUCUGUCACAGUGACCAGAAAAAUGUUGAUACCUGAGGGGAUAUCUGAGGGUAUCUGAGAGGCAGAUGGAAAUUAUCUAGCACGAUUUCUCUUCUAUUAGCUAUAACUAAUUUGAAUGAUGCAUUUUUGCAGAUACUACUUAAAGAGGUACACUAUGUGCAAAGUAUUAUUCUAAACCCUUUGCAGCUCAGUGAGACAGGAUGCUGAGGAACCACAAAAGUGGUUGUCUGUUCUAGGUCACACAGGUGCCAAGUGUUGGACCUGAAACUUGAACUGAUGUUUUUCUAAUUCCAAAGUUAGUCACUUUCACAAAGGAAUAUUGCAUACCAGCCAUCCCUUUCUCCCUAUGGUCAUUAAUUACCCAAAUCAUUUUAUUUCUCUCAUUCUCCUUUUCUUCUAUAAACAAAACAUUUAAAUGAGAUGAUUUCUAAAAUUCAUGCCAAUUCUAGGAUUCUGUUUAUCUAGAUAGGUUAUAUUUCUUUGUGUAAUUCUAUACUAUGAGAGAAAUAAAUAAAAAUUUGGAGGCAAAAUUCUAAGGGAAUACAAAAGUAGUAAUAAUUACUCCUCGAUAUAACUUGGAUUUCUAAAGAAGUACUCAGGAAGGAAACACCAAAGCGUAAGUCCAAAAACACCUUUACUUCUGUGGAAAUGAUUACAUUACAGUUCUUUAUGAGUUGAAACUGCUUUACUUGGUGAUUUAUCACAUAUGCAAGGAAGCUACCUAAUGAAUAAUGAAACAGAUAUCACCAGUUUUGAAUCUCACUGAAGCCUGUCCUUUAAUUAUAUUGGUUUCCUGAGGUUGGUGUCAUGUGAUACCAGAGGGUCUAUCUAAGAUACUCAUGGACCAAACAGUAUACAAGAGUUACUAAAAAACAGGAACGUUUCCAUGUUUUGUCAUGCUCAUUAAUGUGAAUCAUGGGAAGUUUUCAGAAUUGGAUCAAAAAUAAGAGAUGCCUGUGUUUGGAGGUAAGCUCUGCAGUUUCCAGCCCAGUAAUGCAAAACAGUUUACGUAACCCUGAAAUCUUAUUUUAUUAAGGUUUUUUUUUUUGAGGAUAAGAUUAUAUAAAGUGCCCAGCAUUGUGUUUGCUGUAUAGAAGGCAUUUAAUAAGUGGUGGCUAUAAUUACUAUUACUAAUAAAAGACAAAAAUAUCAUAAUAAUUAUAAUUAUAAAUCCUUUCUUAUUGUUUAGCAGAAAUUCUUAUGAUUUAAGCCAAUUUCCUAUGGAUCUAACUCAGUUAAGCAUCUGAGUGACAUCAAAUUUUUAAAGGCUAUCAUUUGCUUAAACACAAAUCAUCACUCUAAUGCUCUUUGUUAAAAAUCUGUUUUUACCAGCAUCUUCUUUCAUAGGAUUGAAACAAACAAGCAAACCUUACUCCCUUUAGAGCUCUUAAAAUCUCUAAGAAACUCCAUUUCAGUUCAUUUUUCAAGAUAUGUAGGAAUAGAGGCUAAAAUGAGAUACUAACAUUUCUGUAUAGUAUCAAGAGUUUGAGAUUUAUCUCAGAGAGAAUGGGCUGAAAACAGGAGUAGCAAGGUAAAUAUGCCAUACUCAUACUCAGAGGGAAAAAGCAUUAGAUACAGAUAUUAAGGAAUUGCUAAAGACUAAGAGAUGAUUUAACAAAUAUAGAUAUAUCAUAAACAUGAAAUGUAGGUCAUUUUUAUUAUAAAAUGACAUACUCACUGAAGAUGCUCAAGUAACACUUAAGUAUAUAAACAAAAGGUGAAAGUAAGAGCCCAUUUCCCCCAAUCUCAUUUUUCUGUAUCAUGUAUAUAAAGUCCAGUCUUGCUUUAGAGUCUCCCUCUCAAACAUUUCCAGGAAUCCUGGGAUUAUUUUUAUGUAUCAUCUGAAUAUAACCUAGACCUCUUCAGAUUGUAGCAGACAAGAUAAUUUUCCUGCUGUGAGUCUCAGUAGUGGUUAUACUGGUGUAUUUGUGUGAGGCUAGUGUUGUUAUCUCCACAUUAAUUAAAACACCUGCUUGUAGAUACCGUCCUCUCUAUGCCAUGUUGUACAUUGUAGAUGUCACUUCUUGUUGUGGAGACACUGUAAGGUGAACUCCAGACAGCCAAGUCCUAUAUAAUCUCCAUCCCUGAAUGCUGCGGAACAUGUGACCUGCUUCCAGCCAACAUAAAAAGACAGAAGUGACAGUCAGUCUUCUCAUGAUUAUGUUGGCUCUUAGAAGACUCCAUCUUGGCAGACCUGAGAGAGAGGUUCUUCUGCUGGCUUUGAAAAAAUAAGCUGCCACGAUAUGAAAAGACCUAUCAGAGGAUUGUAUGGUAAAGCCUACAAUUGGCCUUUAGGUGAGAGUAGCUAUAAUUUGACAAUAAGAAAAGUCCCCUCACUCUUGCAGCUGAAAGAAACUGAAUUCUACCAAUGGUUAUGUGUACCUGCAAGAAGAACCUGUACUCCAGAAAGGAAUGGAGGCUGGCCAGUACCUUUAUUUAUUUAAAUCUGCUGUGAGAUAAUAAAUGCUAUUUUAAGUUUCUAUUGCAUGAAUUUUACUGAUGACCUCUACAGGGUCACUACUGGUAGCCUGUGGAUAACUAUACAUACGUUCUAAUUUUCAUUAGUGAAUUCCACAUCAUAGUGGUAAUUCUGCUUCUUCCUCCAUAUAGAUGCUCACAUGUGAUGGUGGUGGGAGUAGUGAGAAUAAAUGAAGGAGAAUUCAGGUUGGCUACAUAUUGAACCUAGACCCAACUUAAAGACUAAGACUCAUCAUUUCAGUCCCACCAAAUUCCUAACUAGAGGAUGGGUUUCUCUCAGAGGGAGACCCAAAUGAAUACACUUCCUGAUUCUGCUUGAGGCUCUCCAGUGAGUCACAUAGGUACGAUGUAAAUCUGAUCCAACUGAAGACAGAUUAAGUUCUUUCUCAAGAACUUGACAGAUCAGGACAUUGCAAUAUUCAUUUUAUUUUUAAUUUUUAAUUAGGACUUAUUAGAAAUUAAGUUUAUAUUAUGAAUUAAAUGAAUUAAGAUAUGAGAUUUAUCACUUACUAUUAUAAUCUAUGGUUCUCCUCAUUGUUGCCAGUUUUCCAAACACUUCUGCUAAAAUAUACUGUACAGACACAAACCAUAAACUAGGUAUUUCUUUUAUAAAAAUGGGAAAAUACUAUACACUUUUGAGAGCUACAAAUAUAUUAUAGCAUUUUGCUAAGCUAGGACAAAUAAAUAUACACUUUAUUAUUUUUUUUUUUGUCUUU